Molecule: small RNA, 51 nt
Filed under: uncultured Blautia sp.
Lineage: Bacteria; Bacillati; Bacillota; Clostridia; Lachnospirales; Lachnospiraceae
Description: Streptococcus sRNA SpF59 (ldcC RNA)
Rfam family: Streptococcus sRNA SpF59 (ldcC RNA)
Source: RNAcentral
GACCACUUCAGAAGAAGUUAAGGCCAUACGGACAGCCGGGUCCACUGCCGA